CCAGCUGGCCUACGGGCAGGACGGGCAGCUGAAGGGCUUUGCCGUGCUGGAAUUGGAGUCCCCGGAAUGGGCCGAGCGAGUCCAGGAGGCCACGGACGGAUUUCCCUUGGCCGGGAAUCACAUCCGGGUGUCCUUCUGCGCCCCCGGCACCCCCGGCAGGAGCACCCUGGCCGCCCUCAUCGCCGCCCAGGCCACGGCCCUGAACCGCGGGAAGGGGCUCCUUCCCGAGCCCUCCCUGCUGCAGAUCCUGCGGAGCCUCGGCAACCCCACCUCGCUGCAGCUGCUGCUCCCGGCCCUGCUCCAGGGAAAACAGGGAAUUCUGGGAG
Empidonax traillii (willow flycatcher) is the source of this 326-nucleotide long non-coding RNA. RefSeq lists it as uncharacterized. Lineage: Eukaryota; Metazoa; Chordata; Aves; Passeriformes; Tyrannidae. The transcript is spliced from 3 exons. The record is from RefSeq and is a predicted model, not a curated record.